Long non-coding RNA from Acinonyx jubatus (cheetah), 5154 nucleotides. RefSeq lists it as uncharacterized. The transcript has 7 exons. NCBI's taxonomy places the organism in Eukaryota, Metazoa, Chordata, Mammalia, Carnivora, Felidae. The record is from RefSeq and is a predicted model, not a curated record.
UUUCUAAUUUGUUGUUGAAACCUCUUAUACCUGUUGCAUCACCAAACUAUGUGUGCUUACUCUUCAUGCAUCCUCCUUCUGAAAAAUGUGUCUUGGGAGGUUCAAUCUGUAUUUUCAUCCAGCUUACAGCCAGGAUCCCCGUCACCUCGACACAAGACUGGACCUCUGGUCUUUGUCAUAACAGGAAGGAAUUAUGAGGAAAUUCAACAAUGAGGUAGCUGGCUAUGAUGCUGCCUAGAGUUCCAUAGUGAAAGGUGCCACAUUGGCCCCAACAGAUCUACCCUCUUGGGGACAGUGAAUGAGAAACUCACCAGGGAGAGAGGAAAGGAGGAAGAGGUAUGUUUGGUCUGGGGGACAAGAUGGCUAAACCACACGGAAGAUAAUAGAUGCUCAGUUUGUUGGAGCCAAAGAAGCCAUGAGUUCUCAGAGUUUGUCAUGGGUGACGAUGUUCAAGAUGCUGGAAUUUGUUCUUAUCUGAGGCGUGGGAUCGGUCCUCCUCAGUCCUCAUCAAUCUUCAUCUGGCUUUUAUUUUUGUCAUAAAUCUCAAAUUAAGAUGCCCUCGCAUGUGCUCACAAAUGGAUAUCUGGUGUGAGUGGACCUGACUGGACCUUUUGGAGUAAGAUUCUGGCAUCCACAGGGGGAAAAACACAGCACUGAGCAACUGUAGCAGAACGAGGGAAGGAAGCAUCUGCAUCCCCAGAAGGUCAAGAAAUUUCAUGCAGAUACGGGAGAGCAUGAACCUGAGGGUGGAAGCGUCAACUGAAUUUCAAAGGCCUCCUGGCAAGUACACGGAAAGCGAUGCUCAGCAGAAUGACCCUAAUGCUUCCGACUUAAAUGUCCAAAGUACUACAGGAGGAGAAGCUUCUAGUUCCAGCACACACAACUGUGCCUGUGGGUCCUGCCGAUUGCAUCCUAAGGAACUUUCAUCACAGGGUCUGACUCUCAGGGACGCACCCAACCACAUAGUACGGUAUGUUACAGAAUAAAAAAAAAAAAAAAAAGACUAAUUUCGGAACCAGAAUAAGGAUUUGAUGUGUACUAAGCAGGAAUGUUGGUCCUCAAGAGUCAUUCCCAAAGACUUCAUUAAGCUGUUGGAUCAGGGUUUUCUGACUUUCUGCCUCCAAAGUGAUUUGGUAGACAGGGGUCACAGAAGCCUCUUCUCACCUCAUUUCAUCCCCAAGUUCUGCCACCCACCCAGAGACUUUGCUGGAAGUUCGUGCUAUUUUUGUCCUAUCUGGUUAAUGCCAAAGAACAAUGCUGUGGUCCCACCACUGAAGCUCUCAAGAGCAUCUGCUAAGUUACUUUUAUAUUCUUCAUUUCCUGUUAUUUCCUGUAAUGCCUUGCAACUUCCCAAGGUCAUCCAAUUUGGAAUUCCUGACAUGUUUUCUGAUAUUUGCCCAUUCCCUGAACAGGAGACGUUUGGCUCCUGUCUCUUAAAAGCAAACUGAUGGCUGAUUGCUGAUUUAAUAUGCCUCCCAACUCCUCACCUUCCCCAGGGAAAUCCGGAGUUAUCAAUGGGGAUUGUUCCAUCACGUCUCAUCAAUAGCUUGCCACUACACAUUUUAAAAAGGAGCAUUCUGGACAUUUUAAUAUCUGUAAACAUGUGAAACAAGCUCUUAAGAAUUGGAUUCCUGCGUAUCAGCUUGUGAUGCAAGCUUAGGAAAUUUGUUCAAAAUACUUGAGGUCGGAAUUAGAUUAUGCUCUUUUCCUGUUACCCUUUUACGCCCUUCGUUCUAAGAGUAUGGUGUUCCUUUCGAUACAAACAUUUUAUCAAUCAUUUGCUAACUUCACAUGGCAGCCAUUGGUCGUGGGUGUUGGAUAGUAUUAGAAGAAUCUAAGAAGAGCUGAAUUCCCUUUGCUCCUUAAGCAUGGCUUUUUCCACAGGGUUCUCAAGGGAAUAAGACAAACGAUAAACUAGCUAUCAUUUUGUUACAAAUUGUCCCAGGGCUCCACUUCUCCAUAAUGAAGCACUCUGGAAAAACUCAGAAGCCACCCCUCCGCACCCCAGCUGGAGGCAUCUGAAUGGGGAAGAGGAGAGAGUCAGAGGACAAGGUGGCGAGGUCUGUUCAAGGACUCAGGCUCUGCCUCAACUGACCCAGCUAGCUGCAAGAAUAAAGGAAACAGGGGACCAACUUGGUGUGGUGGAUUAGGUUAAGCAGACCAGGAGAAGUGAAGAUUGGGACUUAAUCAUGGACUGUCAAGUUGUGGUUGGAGUGAGCUCAGAUGCAAGGUGAAGAGAAAAUUCAAGUUUGGCAGGUAGAACAAAGUAUCUGGGGAAAAUGACAGUAGAUAACAGUGUUAGCUAUAGAAAAUUGUCGGUAAGACAUAGAGGAGGUUACACAAUGCACAAAAGUGUGCCACGAAGUGGAUUAGAGCCCAGCGAUAGGGAUCCAUGAGCAGACUAUAUUUGAAGAUUGAGGCGAUCAGACGCUGAAAUCCAUAAAGUGGAGUAUCAAGUUCCAAUUCCAUUCUUAAGGUAUCAGAACAGGACUCUGAUCCCAGAGAGAGUUCCAUCAAGCCCUUUACUGGUUCUUGGUCAUCCUCUAUUCCGUUCCCCUCAAAAAUGAUUCCAAAAGUCACUGCGCAUUUCCAUUUGCAAAUCAUAGAAGACUUCCUGCCUCUUAUUUUAUUGAGAAAUUUCAAGUCAAGGUUCUUUCUUUAUUGGUUCCCUUCCUGCAGCCAAAAGAAGCAUGCAAAUCUCCCUGAUACUAACCAAAAACAAUAAAACUUUCCUUUACAUUGUAAAACCACUAGGAACUGUCCAACAUCUUUACUCCACACAGAAGUCAGAACCCAGCAUUUCCCUUUUUCAUGCUAAUUUACUCUGAGAUGAAGCUCAUUUCCUGAAGCUUGAUAUAACUCCCAGUGAGGUCACCAACGACAUCCUAUUUUACUACAAAAGCUGUCUGAGUCCUUUCAUCUGGGGUCUGUCUCUUAUACCCAACAGGACACCAUGGUCCGUACUAUCUUUACCAAGCUCUUUCAGCCUUUGGCUUUCAUUGUAUCCCUCCACCCUGGUGCUCUUCCUUCUGAGAAAGCUCCUUCAUGCUUUGCUUUUGGAUCACUGCUCUUUUCACUCCACAAGUCCCAUCUGAAUGAUCUGGUACAUGAUGGAAACUGAGACUUAUAUGCUUCUCAUGGCCACCUAGAACUCCCAGGCCAGAAGCUUCUGAUUCCUAGAACAAUCUGACUUCUCCACCUGGAUAUCCCCAGGCACAGCACCCUUAAUUGUCUACCACAUAAGAGCAGCAUCUUCUCUAAAUAUGUUUCUCAUGUACAUUUGCUCUCUUUGGUUACCAAGACCAUCCAGUCAAGCCCAUACUAGAAAGCAAAGCGUCAUCCAUGGUAGCUUUCUUUCAGUCCUCCUCCCGUUCAGUCAGACAUCACACCUAUCUGGCUGACUUCUGUGAUGUUUCUCUCUAUCUCUAUCUCCCUUCCCCUAUGCUAGUUCACACUAUCAUUAGCUUUCUUCGCGUUACUACAGUAGGCUCCUAUUUGGUCCCCCCUCUUCUCUUUAACCCUCCUUGAAACUUUCUUUCAUGGGGCUACCAGAGUAUUCUAUCUACAAACGCAAAAUUGACCGUGUCAUGGGCUGAAACCCUUUGAUGGUUUCUCCAUUGUCUUGAAUCUGAGGUGAAACUUGUCUCAUAUUACAUUCAAGACGGUCCAGGAGUUGGUCCCUGCCUUCUCGCCUUUCUAAUUCCCUCUUCUUGCAUUUCCAAAAAUGCCAGAUAGCAUGUAUUGCAUAAGCACACUACCCUCUUUUCCUUCUCUUUCCUUUUGGUAAUGUUAAGCCUUCUUCAUGGAAUACAUGUUUCCAUGUUUCCUGACUAAUCCCUAUUCCUCUUCAAAAGUCUUUUUCAAGCUAGCCUCUUUCAACAUGAUUUACCUGCCUCUUUCUGCCCUGAUAGUCCGGGUGACCUCACCCAGAGCUCCCUGAUAACCAUCCAACUUUUGACAUUGCAUUUGCUCCUGUCUCCCUAGAGGCCUCACACCUCUAGGUGCAUCCUCAACACCUUGCCCAGUACUUGGCACAUCCAAUGCCUCAUUAACAUCUUUGUCGAUUAAUGGAAUCAACUGUCUGAGGGGCUUUCCCUUACUUUCCACUACAGUGUCAGGACAGAGAAUGUCUUCUAUGCCUUAGAGAAACUAACAAAAAGUGAAUGUUUUCAGGGACUCGGUCCCAGAUCAGCACCUAGUAUGCACAGGACAUGACCUCACAAGUGCCAUGACAGCCAAGGCAAGAAAGAAGAAUUAUGCCUCAGGAAGCAGCUGCUCCAGGCAGCGACAUGCAUGUGGUUGCUGCCAGGGCUAAGGUACAUGGAAGUCAGGAAGGCUGAGGAAAGCCCACAAUAACCUAGAAGUGAAAACACACCUGGAUCAAAGGCUGCACUUCCCAACCUUCCUUGCAAAAAGGCCUGGUCAUGUGACUAAAUUCUGGUCAGCAGGAUUUUAGUGGAAACUGUGUGUUAAAUUUAUGUAAAGUGUCCUGAAAUGGAGUGUGUGCUCUCCCCUUUUCCUCCUUUCUUCUGGCUGCAAUGCGGACAUGUUGACCGGAACUGGGGCCACCAUCUUGGAUCAUAAACUAACCAUGAAUCCAGGCCACUGAAGGAAGAGCAAGGAGACAGAAAGUAAAGGUGCCCAGGACACUCAUCUAGUCCCAAAGAUGCUCCAAACGCUCUUCUGUACCCCUUCUGAACCUGAUGCUUUAUGGAAAAUGGAUCUUCCUCCUCGCUCCACUUUCCUCACCCCAGACUCAACUCAAAUUCAAAUAUCCUUACGUUCACUCAGGCCAGGCGAGCAGUCACUUGCAAAGCAAGCUCAUAAGUGGAUGCCCUUUGUAGUCCUGGUGGCUUCAUACAUUCCCUGGAGAGUGCCACGCUUCCGGAGCUCUUUGCCACUCAUUCUGUUUCCUUCUAGGGUUGGUUGAUGAUCUUAGUAAAAGGCCAUAUGCUAAGGAACGUAGUAAUUCCCUUAAGAAGAAUCAAGAAUUGAUGAAAGACUAUAACACAGGAAGCUUGGUACUCUUAAAGUCUAAUUCCUGGUGAAUAAAGAUGAAAGUGUAGAUGAACACAACAAGUUAGCUUUUCAGCGUCACCUUGAGUUUAUCACCUCAAAGUACUUUUGACUGAAGUAAUUGCAUAUUGUGCUCUG